Molecule: ribosomal RNA, 1451 nt
Filed under: Campylobacter jejuni
Lineage: Bacteria; Pseudomonadati; Campylobacterota; Epsilonproteobacteria; Campylobacterales; Campylobacteraceae
Description: partial 23S ribosomal RNA
Rfam family: Bacterial large subunit ribosomal RNA
Source: RNAcentral
AAAAAAGGUAAGCUACUAAGAGCGAAUGGUGGAUGCCUUGACUGGUAAAGGCGAUGAAGGACGUACUAGACUGCGAUAAGCUACGGGGAGCUGUCAAGAAGCUUUGAUCCGUAGAUUUCCGAAUGGGGCAACCCAAUGUAUAGAGAUAUACAUUACCUAUAUAGGAGCGAACGAGGGGAAUUGAAACAUCUUAGUACCCUCAGGAAAAGAAAUCAAUAGAGAUUGCGUCAGUAGCGGCGAGCGAAAGCGCAAGAGGGCAAACCCAGUGCUUGCACUGGGGGUUGUAGGACUGCAAUGUGCAAGAGGUAAGUUUAGCAGAACAUUCUGGAAAGUAUAACCAUAGAGGGUGAUAGUCCCGUAUGCGAAAAACAAACCUUAGCUAGCAGUAUCCUGAGUAGGGCGGGACACGAGGAAUCCUGUCUGAAUCCGGGUCGACCACGAUCCAACCCUAAAUACUAAUACCAGAUCGAUAGUGCACAAGUACCGUGAGGGAAAGGUGAAAAGAACUGAGGUGAUCAGAGUGAAAUAGAACCUGAAACCAUUUGCUUACAAUCAUUCAGAGCCCUAUGUAGCAAUACAGGGUGAUGGACUGCCUUUUGCAUAAUGAGCCUGCGAGUUGUGGUGUCUGGCAAGGUUAAGCAAACGCGAAGCCGUAGCGAAAGCGAGUCUGAAUAGGGCGCUUAGUCAGAUGCUGCAGACCCGAAACGAAGUGAUCUAUCCAUGAGCAAGUUGAAGCUAGUGUAAGAACUAGUGGAGGACUGAACCCAUAGGCGUUGAAAAGCCCCGGGAUGACUUGUGGAUAGGGGUGAAAGGCCAAUCAAACUUCGUGAUAGCUGGUUCUCUCCGAAAUAUAUUUAGGUAUAGCGUUGUGUCGUAAUAUAAGGGGGUAGAGCACUGAAUGGGCUAGGGCAUACACCAAUGUACCAAACCCUAUCAAACUCCGAAUACCUUAUAUGUAAUCACAGCAGUCAGGCGGCGAGUGAUAAAAUCCGUCGUCAAGAGGGAAACAACCCAGACUACCAGCUAAGGUCCCUAAAUCUUACUUAAGUGGAAAACGAUGUGAAGUUACUUAAACAACCAGGAGGUUGGCUUAGAAGCAGCCAUCCUUUAAAGAAAGCGUAAUAGCUCACUGGUCUAGUGAUUUUGCGCGGAAAAUAUAACGGGGCUAAAGUAAGUACCGAAGCUGUAGACUUGCACACAACUUAGAUUAUUUAAGUUUAGAAUAUGAGAAACUAAGUUAUAUGUUUAGUUAUAUUUUUACUGAUUUUUAUAGAGUAAAGAUAGAAAUAAAACUUAGUAAAAUCAGUAAAAAUAUUCUUAGACUAAAGUUAAGUAGUUUAAGUUGUGUGCAAGUGGUAGGAGAGCGUUCUAUUUGCGUCGAAGGUAUACCGGUAAGGAGUGCUGGAGCGAAUAGAAGUGAGCAUGCAGGCAUGAGUAGCGAUAAUUAAUGU